Molecule: long non-coding RNA, 311 nt
Organism: Acipenser ruthenus (sterlet)
Lineage: Eukaryota; Metazoa; Chordata; Actinopteri; Acipenseriformes; Acipenseridae
Exons: 3
Source: RefSeq, a predicted model, not a curated record
GGACUCUGAGAGAGAGAACAGGGAGGGGUGUGGGGUUCACCUGUGUCAGCGCUGUGGAUCCCCAGGUGGACUCUGAGAGAGAGAACAGGGAGGGGUGUGGGGUUCACCUGUGUCAGCGCUGUGGAUCCCCAGGUGGACUCUGAGAGAGAGAACAGGGAGGGGUGUGGGGUUCACCUGUGUCAGCGCUGUGGAUCCCCAGGUGGACUCUGAGAGAGAGAACAGGGAGGGGUGUGGGGUUCACCUGUGUCAGCGCUGUGGAUCCCCAGGUGGACUCUGAGAGAGAGAACAGGGAGGGGUGUGGGGUUCACCUG